This 87-nucleotide transfer RNA is filed under the name Janthinobacterium lividum. Its description in RNAcentral is "tRNA-Leu". It matches the Rfam family "tRNA". Rfam says of the family: Transfer RNA (tRNA) molecules are approximately 80 nucleotides in length. Their secondary structure includes four short double-helical elements and three loops (D, anti-codon, and T loops). Further hydrogen bonds mediate the characteristic L-shaped molecular structure. tRNAs have two regions of fundamental functional importance: the anti-codon, which is responsible for specific mRNA codon recognition, and the 3' end, to which the tRNAs corresponding amino acid is attached (by aminoacyl-tRNA synthetases). tRNAs cope with the degeneracy of the genetic code in two manners: having more than one tRNA (with a specific anti-codon) for a particular amino acid; and 'wobble' base-pairing, i.e. permitting non-standard base-pairing at the 3rd anti-codon position. RNAcentral also lists the same sequence under 1 other name. Lineage: Bacteria; Pseudomonadati; Pseudomonadota; Betaproteobacteria; Burkholderiales; Oxalobacteraceae. The record is from RNAcentral.
GCGACCGUGGCGUAAUUGGUAGCCGCAACAGGUUUAGGUCCUGUCGAGCGCAAGCUUGUGCCAGUUCGAGUCUGGCCGGUCGCACCA